RNAcentral lists this long non-coding RNA (1466 nucleotides) under Phoenix dactylifera (date palm). RNAcentral's name for it is "long non-coding RNA (PDAC_LNC014604)". The record is from RNAcentral. Lineage: Eukaryota; Viridiplantae; Streptophyta; Magnoliopsida; Arecales; Arecaceae.
UCCUCCUAUUUAAGCCUUGACGUCGCUGCUAUGCUAAAGUUCUAAAUCCAGUCAACUCCAAAUGUGAACACCACAAUUAGCCUGUGUUGAGCCCUAAAUAGGCCCAUGCUGCAGUAUCCCCAAAUCGACAUGGGCCACCAGCUGAGUCCACUUUGUUACCAUUUAUAAUAAUCUAAGAUCUUAUCCAAAAAGGUUAGCUGGAAGAUAUUAUUAGCAUUCUUUGGCCUUGUAUAAAUAUGCAAGGUUUUUUUAGCACAUAACUGAUACGGAGCCAGACAAACACCUCCACGGGUUCUCACAAUAUGAAUGGAUUUGAUCCAUUGGGAACAAUUAUCCUGCAGAAAUGUGAGUGUGAUUUUUUUCCGUCUUUUGUGAUUCUUUAAUGCUGUCCCUCUUUAUGCCUUCUUGCCUCGACAGACAUAUCCACAUGCAAAAAUUUUAGCUGUGGAGCCUCUUGAUUGAACCUGUCAAGAGCAUGCCUUUGCAUAAUUCUAGCCUCAGUCUGGGUUCAGGCAUUAUUUCUAGCUGACGUAAAGCCUUGGAGCUCACUCAUAUGUGGUGGUCUUAUUGGUCCUUGCUACACCUUAUAUGUUUUUUUAUAAACUUUGCUCAUUAAACUGGUAUUAACUAUUUUUAGACCAUUUCACAUAUGGAUUAUCUUCAUUAAACAGAUUGUAAUUAUCAUUGACACUAUGCUUGGUCACCUCUCUAACGGCAAGUAUUGCAAUUUGUUAAUUAAACACCCUACAGGUUUAAGUUUUACUUGGUUUCAUUGUCAAAACCUUCGUUGACCUGGUCCUUAGAAGACCUCCGUAGUGUUAUGUGCUCUAGGGAGAUUGUCAGGUUCCAUUUUCUCUCAUGCAGUUUCUUAUGUGAUUAUGGCCCUCUCUGUUUACAGAGUGGCCUUGGCUUCAACAAGGGUGUAAAGUUGGCGAGCAAGUCGUAGCAUUGGCAAGAAUUAUCAAUGAUACAGAUAUGGAUCUUGAAUCUGGUGUCUCACUAGUAUGUUACCUUCCAAGUUGUAUUAUGUUAGUUGCCAGAAGCACCAUCCAUGAUUUCAUUUUCGUAAUGAUAGGAAAAGAGAAGGAAAUGUUUGGUUGAGGGGGCGGGGGGGAAUAAUUUUACUGCUCAUCUUACAGUUUGCAUGUGUUCUAGAAUUCUACAUUUAUGUUUGUCCAGAUUUUAGAAGUAGCACUUCCAUGUCAGAUUUCUUCGUAAGUAAUGAACUCUUUUUCUUGCUGGGCAAGAAAAAUUACAGCAACCAUCCUAGUAAAAUUUUCUGCUUGAGAAAUCAGAGAAGCUGCAUCUAUUGAACAGCUCACAUGGCUUCUGCCCAAUUCGAGGAUUGUAUUUUGCCUUUAUGCAUUGUAUAUGUUUUAUUACUUCAACCUCAUUCAUUUCAUUUCUGGCCAUUAAGCUCAGAUAUUUGGCAUUCAGAGUAAGGGCAUGUGAAGAUGAAAAGAAUU